RNAcentral lists this ribosomal RNA (433 nucleotides) under uncultured bacterium. RNAcentral's name for it is "partial 16S ribosomal RNA". It matches the Rfam family "Bacterial small subunit ribosomal RNA", at positions 29 to 507 of the family's 1533-position model. The record is from RNAcentral.
AGCGAACGCUGGCGGCAGGCUUAACACAUGCAAGUCGAGCGGACCUUUCGGGGUCAGCGGCGGACGGGUGAGUAACGCGUGGGAACGUGCCUUCCGGUUCGGAAUAACCCUGGGAAACUAGGGCUAAUACCGGAUACGCCCUUAUGGGGAAAGGUUUACUGCCGGAAGAUCGGCCCGCGUCUGAUUAGCUAGUUGGUGGGGUAACGGCCUACCAAGGCGACGAUCAGUAGCUGGUCUGAGAGGAUGAUCAGCCACACUGGGACUGAGACACGGCCCAGACUCCUACGGGAGGAAGCAGUGGGGAAUAUUGGACAAUGGGCGCAAGCCUGAUCCAGCCAUGCCGCGUGAGUGAUGAAGGCCUUAGGGUUGUAAAGCUCUUUUAUCCGGGACGAUAAUGACGGUACCGGAGGAAUAAGCCCCGGCUAACUUCGUG